Lucilia cuprina (Australian sheep blowfly) is the source of this 1277-nucleotide long non-coding RNA. RefSeq lists it as uncharacterized. NCBI's taxonomy places the organism in Eukaryota, Metazoa, Arthropoda, Insecta, Diptera, Calliphoridae. The record is from RefSeq and is a predicted model, not a curated record. The transcript is spliced from 2 exons.
AAUUAGUUUCUAAUACAAAAGCUAAAAAAUAUUUAAAUAUAAUUUUAAUUCAAAUAAUAUAAACAAAUUGAAAAAUUACAUAAUAAUCACAACAACAUAUAACUUAUUUAUAAAAAUAAUAGUAAUAUUAUCUAAGAAAAUCCAUAAAAGUGCAGCAAAUAUAUAAAAAUAUAAUAAUAUUAAAAAGAAACAUAUUAACUUAAUUAAUACUUCAUAAUUAAUAACAAUAUUGGAUUUAAACUAAUGGCCAAAUAAUAUUAUAUGAAUACUCACCUUAAUCUCUUAAUGAUAAUUUUCGGAAUAAAUUUCAUCAUCAUGUAAAUAAUGCAGGAAUAUGGAGAACAGAAACUGUGUAACAACAAAUCUCUCUGACAGCUUAAUGAAUAUGAGAAAGUCAUAUUAUGAUAUUCUAUAAAAGAAAUCGAAAAAGUGUUUUGAACCAACCCCUACUCACAGAGGCAAAGGAUAAAUAACAACACUCAAACAUAUAUACAAAAGGAAUACAUAACAACAAAAGCUAAUAAAUCCUGCCAAUCGUCAUAUAUGUACGCUUUGUGGUUUUGUUUUCAUAAAAUAAAAUAAAAUAAAAUAACAGUAUAUAUAUAUACAUAUGUAUUUGGGCAUAUAAAAGAGCUUCACUUAUUGGCCUGACCAACCAAUAAGAGAAGAGUAGAAAACAAAAGCUCAAACCACCACCGGAAAUGCAAUGCACUAGAAAAACUCAUACACAUACAGGAGAAUUACAACAGCAGUCGUUUACUAAUGAAGUAUGAAAGAGAAUGAAAGAGAUGGAUUAAAUAUUGUAGGAAAGAGAAGUCUUGUGUAAAGAAAGUUUGUUCUUUUUUUAAAUAUUAACAAAAAACAAACAAAUAAUACUCAUACGCCUUCGUAAACGGCGGAAAAGGAAGAAUAACGUUUUUUACUGCAUUGUGUUUCUGUGUUUCUAAAAAAAAACAGUUUUUUCAUUGGUCUGAAGUACAAUAAAGGAUUUAUUUUUAGCUACCAAUGAUAUUCAAAUUACAAAGAAAUAAAUCCUUAACUACUUGAGACUAAAAUGUAAAUGUUUUUAUAGCUUUUUAAAAAAGAAGCCAAAAAUACAUUUAACAAACUGUUAAGCUAGUUUUUGGCAAGAUUUUAGCUUUUGAAGAUAAAGCUUAACCUAAACAAAAAGUAAUAUUUUACAAAGGAAAAAGAAUUAUUUUGAAAAUAAUCACAAAGGCUGAAAGCAUUAUUUAUAUCAUGAUUUAAACAUAAAUUAACUAAAUUUUAUUUUAUAA